CCCUUAGAUGUUCUGGGCUGCACGCGCGCUACACUGAUGCGCUCAACGAGUUUACGAACUUGCCCGGAAGGGUUGGUUAAUCUUUUUAAAACGCAUCGUGAUGGGGAUAGAUUAUUGCAAUUAUUAAUCUUCAACGAGGAAUUCCUAGUAAGCGCGAGUCAUCAGCUCGCACUGAUUACGUCCCUGCCCUUUGUACACACCGCCCGUCGCUCCUACCGAUUGAGCGGUCCGGCGAGCGACAGAGACUGUGCUGUUUGCGGCAACGUGGAUAGUGCGGGAACUUUUGCAAGCCUUAUCGCUUAGAGGAAGGAGAAGUCGUAACA
This 323-nucleotide ribosomal RNA is filed under the name uncultured eukaryote. RNAcentral describes it as "partial 18S ribosomal RNA". It matches the Rfam family "Eukaryotic small subunit ribosomal RNA", at positions 1470 to 1796 of the family's 1831-position model. The record is from RNAcentral.